Molecule: ribosomal RNA, 611 nt
Filed under: uncultured bacterium
Lineage: Bacteria
Description: bacterial SSU rRNA
Rfam family: Bacterial small subunit ribosomal RNA
Source: RNAcentral
CUUGGCAGUAAACGGUGCACGCUUGGUGUGCGGGGAAUCGACCCCCUGCGUGCCGGAGCUAACGCGUUAAGCGUGCCGCCUGGGGAGUACGGUCGCAAGAUUAAAACUCAAAGAAAUUGACGGGGACCCGCACAAGCGGUGGAGUAUGUGGCUUAAUUCGAUGCAACGCGAAGAACCUUACCUGGGCUUGACAUGUAAUGAACAACAUGUGAAAGCAUGCGACUCUUCGGAGGCGUUACACAGGUGCUGCAUGGCCGUCGUCAGCUCGUGUCGUGAGAUGUUUGGUUAAGUCCAGCAACGAGCGCAACCCCUGUUGCCAGUUACCAGCACGUGAAGGUGGGGACUCUGGCGAGACUGCCCAGAUCAACUGGGAGGAAGGUGGGGACGACGUCAGGUCAGUAUGGCCCUUAUGCCCAGGGCUGCACACGUACUACAAUGCCCAGUACAGAGGGGGCGGAAGCCGCGAGGCGGAGGAAAUCCUAAAAACUGGGCCCAGUUCGGACUGUAGGCUGCAACCCGCCUACACGAAGCCGGAAUCGCUAGUAAUGGCGCAUCAGCUACGGCGCCGUGAAUAAAAUCCCGGGUCUUGCUCACCCCGCCCGUCAAGGGCC